ACGGAUCGGAACUGCUCCCUCUCUGUCUCUCUCUCUCGGCGAGUCCGGCCGGGGAUGGCGUGGUGGGAUCGGGUAACGUCGCCGAUGAGGAGGGUCUGGACCGGCGUCGCUACCCGCCUCGGGAUUCGCAAAUCCGGGCUGACGCAGCUGAGGGAGGAGGUGAGCACGUGCGAGUACGAGGACGUGCACGUGAUGUGGGAGCUGCUUACGGAGUCGGGGCGGGCCGGACCUCACCGGGCGGGGCCGGCGACGGCGGCAAGGAGGAGGAGGAGGAGGCCCCGGCGGGACGAGUCGCACGUGUGGUCCGUGCUCGAGUGGGCACGCCUCGGCUUCUGCCGCAGGUUCUAGCUACCUCACGCGCGUGCCGAGAAUAUUAUUUCCCUUUCUUUUUUCUUAUAUAUAUAAAUAGAUAUAUUAUAUGUAUGUAUUUGGGUGGGUGUAUGACCUGAGAAUUUAGCAAUACAUAGUGUGUUUUAUUAA
This is a long non-coding RNA of Musa acuminata AAA Group (dessert banana), 480 nucleotides long. RefSeq lists it as uncharacterized. NCBI's taxonomy places the organism in Eukaryota, Viridiplantae, Streptophyta, Magnoliopsida, Zingiberales, Musaceae. The record is from RefSeq and is a predicted model, not a curated record. The transcript has 2 exons.